GAAAGACUUGUGAAUCCAGGAAGAGAGACUGACUGGGCAACAUGUUAUUCAGAAUCUCCCUGUGCCAUCCAGGCUGGAGUGCAGUGAUGUGAUCAUAGCUCACUAUAGCUUUGGCCUUCUGAGAUCAAGCAAUCCUCCCAUCUCAACCUCCCAAGUAGCUAGGACUACACAUGCAUGUCACCCAUGCCCAGAUCAUUUUUGUAGAGUCAGAGUUUCACCGUGGUGGCCAGGUUGGCCAUGUUGGCCAGAUGGGGUCUUCUUUUGUUGCCCAGGCUGGCCACAAAUUCCUGGGCUCAAGUGAUCCUCCCACCUCGUCCUUGUAGAGAUGAGAUUUAGUUACGUCGUCCAGGCUGAUCUCAAACUCCUGGGCUAAAUCGAUUGUCUCACCUCAGCCUCUCAAGUAUGUUAUGAAGGUUAUAUGUUAGGAAGGGUCCCAGG
This 438-nucleotide long non-coding RNA is filed under the name Homo sapiens (human). RNAcentral describes it as "novel transcript". The record is from RNAcentral. Lineage: Eukaryota; Metazoa; Chordata; Mammalia; Primates; Hominidae.